GACGAACGCUGGCGGCGUGCUUAACACAUGCAAGUCGAACGCUGAAGACCUGGCUUUUGUUGGGUUGGAUGAGUGGCGAACGGGUGAGUAACACGUGCGUAACCUGCCCUCUUCUUUGGGAUAACGCCCGGAAACGGGUGCUAAUACUGGAUAUUCACUGGCCUUCGCAUGGGGGUUGGUGGAAAGGUUUGUUCUGGUGGGGGAUGGGCUCGCGGCCUAUCAGCUUGUUGGUGGGGUGAUGGCCUACCAAGGCUUUGACGGGUAGCCGGCCUGAGAGGGUGACCGGUCACAUUGGGACUGGGAUACGGCCCUGACUCAUACGGGAGGCAGCAGUGGGGAAUAUUGCACAAUGGGCGAAAGCCUGAUGCAGCGACGCCGCGUGAGGGAUGGAGGCCUGCGGGUUGUAAACCUCUUUCGCUCAUGGUCAAGCCGCAACUGUGGGUUGUGGUGAGGGUAGUGGGUAAAGAAGCGCCGGCUAACUACGUG
RNAcentral lists this ribosomal RNA (486 nucleotides) under uncultured bacterium. RNAcentral's name for it is "partial 16S ribosomal RNA". It matches the Rfam family "Bacterial small subunit ribosomal RNA", at positions 28 to 507 of the family's 1533-position model. The record is from RNAcentral.